This 253-nucleotide ribosomal RNA is filed under the name uncultured bacterium. Its description in RNAcentral is "partial 16S ribosomal RNA". It matches the Rfam family "Bacterial small subunit ribosomal RNA", at positions 524 to 776 of the family's 1533-position model. The record is from RNAcentral.
UACAGAGGGGGCAAGCGUUGUUCGGAAUUACUGGGCGUAAAGGGCGCGUAGGCGGCCUGCUAAGUCGAACGUGAAAUCCCUGGGCUCAACCCAGGAACUGCGUCCGAUACUGGUUGGCUUGAAUCCGGGAGAGGGAUGUGGAAUUCCAGGUGUAGCGGUGAAAUGCGUAGAUAUCUGGAAGAACACCGGUGGCGAAGGCGGCCCACUGGAUCGGUACUGACGCUGAGGUGCGAAAGCGUGGGGAGCAAACAGG